GUCUGAGAAACUCGAAGCGCCGAAAGGUCAAGUGACUUGCCUGCAGCCCAGCAGCCGGGCUGGCGGCCGGGCGCAACGUGGAUGCCAGGCUGAGCUCGGGCUCUGACCUCUCCUGGGUGCCCGGAUCUGUAGGGCAGACUUCCCCCGGGAGGGGCGGCGGGCACAGCGCCGGGCCCACCCACACGAGAGCGCUUUGCUUCUUGCAAAACAGCGAGCUAAGCACGUCAACCGUUGGCAUCGGGACGGCAAUCAAAAUCAAGACCUUUUGGAGCCCGUCUUCUUGUACCCAGAGGGAAACUGAGGCCUGGACCCAGGCCUAAUUCCCGUCUGGCUUCUGAGCCAUUGCCAUGAGUCAGAAGCCAAGAGUUUCUUUUCGUUCCUUCUCGUGCAAUGAAACGGCACACAGUCCUGCGUGCUCCGCGGCUAAGGCAGCCCUGUCGCCCAGGGCGGACGCAGGAUGAGCCCCUAGUCCGCGCUCCGGGACUUUUCCGCUCUUUCUCUCCCAUCGCAUGUCGAAAGAAGAUCUUUCAAAACCUUCGAGCGGCAAAUUGCAAUCCGAGAAAUGAAGCAAAGAGAAAAUGCUCCCCGAGCCAGUGGAUAUCUGUAACAGCAGGUUUCACUUAUAGCAAAGACCCUUCUCUUCGCCUUGUAAAGAACCAGGAGAUGACUCAUCAGUGGGCAGCAGUUGUUAAAAAAAAAAAAAAAAAGAAAGAAAGAAAGAAAAAGAAAGGAAAAAAAGGUAUAUGGCCAAAGAAUACAGAGUCCUUGUUCGAAAUGAAAGAGCUUUAAUAUAUUUAUAUUUAUCACUCUGGUUGCAUUUAUAAGAUCAUUGAAAUUCAAGACUGUCUCGUUUCGCUAGCAACGGGAGAGAGAGAACUGCUUCCCACAUGUGACUUUCUCUGAUAACCCAAGCUUUGUAUCCUUUGAA
Long non-coding RNA from Felis catus (domestic cat), 928 nucleotides. RefSeq lists it as uncharacterized. Lineage: Eukaryota; Metazoa; Chordata; Mammalia; Carnivora; Felidae. The transcript is spliced from 3 exons. The record is from RefSeq and is a predicted model, not a curated record.